This is a long non-coding RNA of Cucumis melo (muskmelon), 533 nucleotides long. RefSeq lists it as uncharacterized. The record is from RefSeq and is a predicted model, not a curated record. The transcript is spliced from 3 exons. Lineage: Eukaryota; Viridiplantae; Streptophyta; Magnoliopsida; Cucurbitales; Cucurbitaceae.
GUCGGUUUUUCACUUUCUUUGCUCUCAAAAUCAUUGAAGUUCAUUGUUUUCUGUAUGCUAAAAACGAUUUAGUGCAUCCUCAAGCUUCAAUUGUAGAGGUCGAGAUGUUUUCAUCACUUAAUGGAAAAGUUGCGAGUAGGACUUUCGUUGAUGCAAUACCACACAUUAGGCGAUGAAGUUGCAUGUACUCACCUAGAUUGAAGCUGAUCCUAACACAAGUCUUUGUGUCGUAAGUGGCUUGCAUAAUUGAUUUUGAGCCUUCAGAUGAGGAGCGUGCAUAAAUGAGUUGAACUGGAUUUUUCGACCAUUGAAGGUUAUGGUGGACAAACAGGACACAUGCUUUGGUUACUAUACAAGAUGUAUCCUAUCCUAUCCUAAUUCGUAGAUUUAUCAUUGGUGUUUUAAGUAUGUGACUUUCACUAGGUGAUAAGACAUGGCUAUGCGUUAAAGAUGCUCGCUAUGUCUACGUGUUGUUAUUUAUAAUGAUAGUCUGUAUUGAGUACAAGUCUUCCUCUUGUUUGUCUAAGUGUAAA